GAUGAAGAACGCAGCGAAAUGCGAUACGUAGUGUGAAUUGCAGAAUUCAGUGAAUCAUCGAAUCUUUGAACGCACAUUGCGCCUCUCGGUAUUCCGGGAGGUAUGCCUGUUCGAGCGUCAUUUGUACCCUCAAGCUCUGCUUGGUGUUGGGUGUUUGUUCCGCCUCUGUGUGUGAACUCGCCUCAAAACAAUUGGCAGCCGGCGUACUUGUUUCGGAGCGCAGCACAUUUUGCGAUCCAGAUCAACGUACAGCGGCAUCCAAGAAGCCUUAUUUAACGCUCUUGACCUCGGAUCAGGUAGGGAUACCCGCUGAACUUAAGCAUAUCAAUAAGCGGAGGA
RNAcentral lists this unclassified non-coding RNA (339 nucleotides) under soil metagenome. RNAcentral describes it as "partial contains 5.8S ribosomal RNA, internal transcribed spacer 2, and large subunit ribosomal RNA". The stretch from base 1 to 120 matches the Rfam family "5.8S ribosomal RNA", at positions 35 to 154 of the family's 154-position model. The record is from RNAcentral.